AUGGCCAGCGCGGCCUCCGCGACCGGGCCAAAAGACGCCGCGGCCGCCGCGCGCUGCCGACCCGCCUGGCGCCGGAAGCGGCAAGUGUGUCCCCCGCAAAGGAGUCCGGGCGCGGCCGGAAGCGGAGAAGGGACCGGGCGGGCCAUGGCUAGAGCUGGGCCCGGGAGGGCCGGGAGCGCCCGCCGGGGCCUGGGACAGCGGCGGCUCCCGACGUGGGAGAUCUCGGAUUCGGACGCCGAAGGCCCGGCUGGCGCGGAGACCUCUGCGAGGGCCCGGGACCCGGCUGAAGAGCGCAGGCCGGCGGCCGAGGCGCUGCGGCGGCUGCGGCCCGGGCAGGCAGUGCGUCGCCUGGCGGUGCUCGUGGACCCAGCCGUCCUGGAAGACGCCAGUGCCGACACCCUGAUGGAGGCCCUGCACGCCCUGGGCUGUGAGCCCCGCGCGGAGCCGCAGCGCCCGGCGCGGAGCCUCCGCUGGAGCCGAGCGAGCCCAGACCCUUGCCCGCGCGGUGUGCCCCCUGAGGUGUGGGCUGAGGAUGAGCCCCACGUGCUGCUGCUGCUGGAGCCCGAAGAGUUUGUGCGAGGAGUCCUCCAGCUGACCCAGGUAUGUGGCCCGACCUGUUCUGUGCCCUGGGUCACACCUGAGAGCCCUGCCUGUCUCCACCUAGCUGUCAUUGGGCUGGAUGCUUACCUGUGGUCUCAGAAGCCCAGCGCCCAGGAGACACAGCAGCCAGAGCAUCCAGCGGUCACUCGCGCCGAGGCGGCGGUCGGCUGGCCUGAGGUGGAGGAGGUGAGGCAGUCAGGCCCUGGUGCGCCUGCAGCUCUGGGCGAACGUGGAUGUGCUGCUGGUGGCCUCCUGGCAGGAGCUGAGCCAACACGUGUGUGCCUUCACCAAGGCCCUCGCCCAGCGCCCCUUCAAGCAGGCCCGGGAGUCUGGGGCCUUCCCCUUCUGUACCUCUGGGCGCUGGGCAGCAGGCGAGCAAGUGGCCAGAGACGGCACGGGGCUGCGGUGGGCCUGGUGGCGGCAGGUCAGGCAGUUCAACCGCGUCAGCCCGGCUGUGGCCGACGCCAUUGUCAGCGCCUUCCCAUCCCCCCGCCUGCUGCAGCAGGCAUACGUGGCCUGUGGCACCGAGCAGGAGCGCCUGAGCCUGCUGGCCGACCUCCCGGUGAAGAUGGGCAAGGGUGCGCCGCCCCGCAGGGUGGGGCCCGACCUCUCCCGCCGCGUCUGCCUCUUCCUGACCACCACUGACCCCGACCUCCUGCUGGACCUGGGCUCCUGACCACGCUCGUGGGGCCGCACAGGGCCUCCCCCGCCUGCAGGCAGGUGGACAUCAGACUUAAGAGUUUAUUAUGGUCGCUUUCAGCCUCAGACAGGAGGAACAGAGCUGACAACAUGCAAAGCAAAUUAAGAAAAACCUGAGGCCGGUGGUGGCAGGAGAGCCAACCUCUCAAGGAGCAUCCUCCUUGCAGGCAGCAGCCCACAGCCCCACAGCCCCUCCCCUGCCAGCCCCCCAGACCUGAACCCAGAUGCGCUGGGGCAGCAGCUGUUCUCACGCCCAGCACUGGAGCAGACAGGCUGGGUCUUGGGGUCACAGGGUUGACAGCCCGGAGCCCCUGCAGCGAGGCCCGUCCCAGCCUCAGGCAGCAGAGGGGCAGCGGGACAAACCUCAGCUCGGUCCUCCCCUCGGCGGCCCUGGGGCAGUCCACAGGCAGGGGCAGGGACCCACUGUCCCAGCCCCAGGGGGGGGUCUUGAUGAGGGAGCAGGCUAGGUCCUUCGGCAGCGCUUCCGCUGGCAGCUCCGGGGCUCGGGGCCGUUGGCCGCGGGCGAGGGUGCCGGGGGCUGGCGGCUCAUGCUCAGGACCCAGCCCAGCUUGUGGUGCAGCACCUGCUUGAGGCCGGGCGGCAGGGGCAGGCCCUCGAGCGUGUCCCCUGAACCGGGCCGCAGCUGGCGCAGGCGGAAGCAGCACAGGUACUGCAGGGAGGUAACGCUGGCGCACGAGCGGAUCACCUUCAUGCUGCUCUUGGCCGCCGUGGAGCACACCAUUGGGUAGAACCUCUUGUUCUGCAGCUGCGUGGCCGCCACACCUGGGGCGGGGGGGAGGAACAGCCUCAGGGCACUCAGCCCCCCAGGGGCUCUGACCCUGCGCCCUGGGGCCACAGGAGGUCUCAGCCUCACCUAUGCACUUCCUGUUCUUGAAAAAGGUCAGCGUCCCGUGCCAGGUGUCCAGGUGCACGCCGAUGAUGGAGCCCUGGCCGAACCUCGAGGAGAAGCUCGUCUUGUCGCCCUUGUGAUGGAGGAGGCCUGGGGGCAGCGGGGUCAGGGUGAGCCCCGCGGCCUGGGGGCCCCCAGCCCCACCCUCCCGGGCCCCACGCACCCGUGUAGGAGAGGCCCCAGCUGUCCUCGUCCCGGCCGAGUAGGCUGCAAAACGUGUGGUGGUACUUGUCCAGGUCCACAUCCGACGUCCCGAUGCCCACCAUCUGGGAACAGGGGCGCGGGCAGAGGGGGCAGGGGACCGAGGCGCCUGGCAGCACCCCCGCCUCCCGGCCCCGCCGGCUACUCACCAUGUCGGUGCCAUAGACGGGCGACGUCAUCUUGAUCUCCCAGAAGUGCUGGCCCUCCCCCAGCUCCUUGGUGCCCCGGAUGGCCGCCGUGCCGCAGCUGUACUCCAUGUGGAAGCUGACCUUCCGGUUGUCACAGCUCAGCAGGGUGGCUGAGGACUUGUUCAGGUCAUCCCAGACCCAGUCGAAAUCUGCAAGAGUGAGAGGCCCCGGCUGAGCCCUGGCCCACCUGGAGGCCCUCCGCCCACCGUGGCCUGCACUCACGCUCAUCCUCCUCGCCGCAGCGGCAGUCCCGCCCCCGGUGGGCAGUGUGCAGGCUGCCGCAGAAGGCCUCGCUCUGGCUGUCACAGUCGCAGAAGGACUCCCCGGUCACAGGCACGGCGCUGGGGAUGGACGACGGCAGGGACGCACACUCGGGGUCGGAGUCUGAGUCGCUGUGCUGAGGGACAUGGGAGAUGUUGCCGCCCGACCUACCGGCACCGGCCCAGACACCCUCCAUCCACCUGCCCCGCUGCAGGUCUGUGGGUCAACAGCCGGACAUCCGGAGGAAGGGACCUGGGCCUUGGCCUCCAGAAGACCACCCCUGGCCCCGGGGCACAGCCAGCCACUGCAACCAUGGACACCUCUUCCGGCCUCCUCCUCAAAGGCCGACCACGAGGAAGCUUCCUGGGAAUGGAGUCAAGAGCCCUGGAGGCCCAGUGGCUCAUCAGCCCCUUGCAGGGCUGCACGCUCAGCCAUCCCUCAAGGUCAAGAGCUCCUAGGUCACGGAUACACAGGGGAGCCCAUGGCAAAGCCCACCACUGACCUAACGAAGGCAGCUUGGUCUCCCAGAGCAGCAGCUGGGCUCCUAGGGCCCGAUCGCCAUGGCAGGGCCUGCACACCCGGCCCAGAUUGCAGCUUCCCCGUCUGUGCCCAGGGCAGCUCAACCCCUGUCACAGGGCCCUGCUGAGGGAGCCCUGCAGUCGCAGGCCCUCUGCACGGGGGCUCAGUCCUCACAGGAAAGACUCCAAGCCUUAGGGGCCUGAUAUCAGCCCAGCACCAGACGCCAAGGCUGAGCUGGUCAGGUUCCGGAGACCAGCUGAUUAGACCCUCCUGAAAGCCAGCUAGAGUGCCUCCAAACACCCACCUGGGCUCCAGACCCUGGCCAGCCAGCGAGGGCCCAAGGCACAGACCGCUUCUGUGUGCCUGCGCUGAGCUCUCCCAGCUUGGCCUGGGCUCCUGGUCAGGCUCAGGCCUCCACCCUCACUCUCCUGGCCUCUGGGUGCCCCUCUGGCCCAAAAUGCCCUCUGCACAGCAGUCCAGUGGACCUGUUCAGACCUGAGAUUCUGCUGCCCUGAGAGCAAAGCCCACAGACUUAUCCUCCUCAGACAGCGUCAGCGCCCCACCUGGCCCCCUGUCCUGCCCACCCUUGUCCCCUUGGGGUGGGGGUGGGGUCUGUUCGCCCCUGGAUCUCUCUUGGAUACCAGUUCAAAGAGGCUCUGCCAGGCCUGGG
Bubalus bubalis (water buffalo) is the source of this 4048-nucleotide RNA transcript. It is a transcript of the gene named essential meiotic structure-specific endonuclease subunit 2, with no coding region annotated. The transcript is spliced from 9 exons. The record is from RefSeq and is a predicted model, not a curated record. Lineage: Eukaryota; Metazoa; Chordata; Mammalia; Artiodactyla; Bovidae.